Long non-coding RNA from Malurus melanocephalus (red-backed fairy wren), 6768 nucleotides. RefSeq lists it as uncharacterized. The transcript is spliced from 3 exons. The record is from RefSeq and is a predicted model, not a curated record. NCBI's taxonomy places the organism in Eukaryota, Metazoa, Chordata, Aves, Passeriformes, Maluridae.
UACCAGCUGCCUUUCUUGCCUUCCAACUCCUGGACCAGUGAGAAAUCAAGACAUGGYUAGGUCAGUGUACAGGUACAAAGCAUACUUCACCUCCCAUGGACUGGGGAUGGGGAAGCGAAGGGAAGAGUGCUGCAGAGCUGCUGAUUGCUCUCCAAAGACUUCCUGUUAGGGAAAAUCCUCAGUUGACCAUUUAGGGUAGUAUUAGAGCUGCUCAGUGCUGCUGAGGCAUGCAGAGAAGCUGCAGAUGGGGCUGAGAGUACAGCUUGAUACUUCUCUGUUCAGCCACCAGUUACAGCAUUAUCAAAURAUUGCUGGAGGUGGUACCAAGACUGUUGGAAUGGCUGAAGGCAAAGAAGGAGCUCUGCUUUUAAUGAAAAGAGCAUUGAAAACAAGACAAGCAAAAGGAGGGGAGGAAAAAAAAAGGAAAACGAAAACUCCCUUCAGACAACAAUCACCUUUUGAGCUAAAUUCCCAUGCUUGGUCUUAGCCCAGAGGGAUUUGUCUUGAGUGAAGUUCGAAGAAAAUCCUUUCAGCAGUUUCUGAGUUACUUAAAUGUAACUAUGGAGCACAAACCAAAUCAACAGGACACUUAAAUGUCUCCUAAAUAUUUAUGGACUUCAAAGUCACUGAAAUGGUCUGUGAUUUUCUUACUGUUAUUAUUUWAUUGCCAGAAGAUUGAGGCAAUGAGAAGUGAAGUGUCUUGUAAGUAAUGGUUUUUCCUUUUUCUUUGUCCAAUCCUCCUAUUGCUCUCUGAAGUUUCUUCCUCUUUGUCUUCUUUCCAACAUUUCUGCAUCACUUACUAGUCCUGUUCUCACUGUCUCCUAUCUAUCUUUCAACCAUCUUUCUCYAUUUAUUCUUCUCCAACAAUUGUAUUGAAGAGAGCCCGUGAUAGAAAAUAUUUUUACUUUGGCAGCAGCUUUUUACUUUUAUCUUUUCCCUAAAUGUCUGGGAUGGGUCCAGGCAGCUCUCCCCACUUUCAUCAUAUCUCUCCACGUCCCUCAUGACCCUGAGCUCUAAUCAGCCAUCUGAUGUCURCCAUGAGAGCACCUCCCAUGAUCCAAAGCCACAAUCAGACUAAGGUGUUGUAACACCAUGUGUUGCUUUGCCUACUUACCACUCUUGCUCUGCUGCUUUCCAGGAACUGCACACCUGUGCCUGGGUUUUCUCACAGAAUAAUAAUGACAGCACUGUCGCCUUUUGCACGUCUCUUCUCCUUGCUCCUGUGCCCAUCUUCCUCUCCUGAGCUUUUGUGGUUCAAUCUCUUGGCUGGUGCAAUUUAGGAUAUGGGAGAUUUGUAUUUAGGCUCUGCCUGAGGCAAUUUGAACUUGAAUCUCUUGCCUGCUGAAUUUGCACCCUACAGAAGAGAUUAUCAGCUGUUCUGUGAGAAGGGUAACCCAAGUCCUUGCCUCAAGUGGCAAAGCUUGCGCUUGACUUUUCAGCCUUGUUGUGGAGACGCUCACCUGGGUGGGGGGAAACCACAUUUGCCAGGGCCUGCCCCAGUCAAAACUUAAUACAAAGUAUGGAGAUAUUCCCUGGAAGAGGGUAGCAAACCCCAGGCUUCUUGCUUUCAGUAGUGCUUUGAGAGCAAGCACACAGAACAAUCACUUCAAUCCAUUUAAUUAUCCCAUACAAACUGGAAUAGCUCCAAUKGGAUGGACUGGAGAAAGACCCUGUUCAACAAGAUUCUCUUAGAACUGUGCUGAUCUCACUGGGCUAGUGUGAGCCAGCUCCCUCAUACCCCAGAGCAGYCAUGGCAGCUGCCUCAGCUCCACUGUCUUGAUAUAGUACUGGGUACUGAGGACAUGUGUGGAGACUGGAGGAAAGYGAAGUGUGCUCCUGAAUGUACUGUGUUAUCCAUGGCGACAGGUUUGUAAUUGUAGCUUAAACAAACACCUGCCAGUGCUGCCUCAGUUACCAUUCUGGAGGAAUGGCAGCAAACAUGCGGUGGAGGGGAAAGAAUUCUGUUAAAAGACAGGGCAGUAGGCUGAGACACUACAAGGAUAAUUGCUUUUAAGGGUGGAAAUACCAUCAAAAUAGACUAAAGAGUCUUAAAAUACAAAAUCAAUGCCAAAACAGAGAAAGCCAGAAUGACUUCCAGAUCUCAGCUAUAGGCAGUUGUACCCCAACAUAAGCCAGGUACUGUCAGUGUGUGGGAGACAUCCAGGAAUUUUCUCUCCUUCAAAAAUAUUAGGGACAUUAUAUGUUUUAACUGUAAUGAAAAACUAGAGCUCUAGUGCUCAAUUCCAAAGAGGCCAAACCAUUGGAAGUGAUGUGGUACAGGGUGUAUGUGUGUGUGUGUGUGUGUGUGUGUGUGGCUGCUCCUUUUCUCCUCGGGAUUCUAUAGCUUCCUUCAUUCUUCGCUUCUCUCAUAUUACAGAAAGAAGGUAAUUUUUCCUGGCCAUUUACUAAAGCUCAUUAAAGACCGAAGAGAACAAACAAUGCUAUUCCUUAGAGACUACCAUUCAAAGUCAUUCUACAAUUCUCUGUUCUAAUACUUGAGACAAAUUAAUUAUUCCUUAGUGAAAAGUGUAUAAUUCCUAUUCUUCUUUUUUGGGGUGGGGAGUGGGGAAUAAUAAUAGGAAGUUUAUAUCUGAGUCAAAAGCUGUCUGUGCUGAAGGGAAAUGAGAAAAAAUGUGUGUUCCAAGAAGAGUAAAAGCAAUUAUUCUAAUAAUAAUUCUAGGGAUAUUAAUGUCUUUUUAAAGUAGAUUGCUUUCAAAUAAACACCAAAGUUGAAGGCAUAGGAAAGGCUGGUUUAUUUAUUAAUCAUUCCAAAAGUGCAUUUUUCUAAAUGAACAAGUGCAUGAGCAACUUCGCUGGCACAUAUUAAAUUUAGUUAAACGGCAACUUGUAAAUAUCUAAAAACUUCUGUAACCAGAGACUAAUUUGUUUAACGUGUUGAAAAUGUUAUGUGGAUGUGAGGAGCUACAUAUUAAACUUCAAAGCAAAAUGCUCUAGAGAUUACACCAUCUUAAAGACUGCAUAUUGGAAAGGCCUUUAUACAUUAAACAUAAAGGAUUUUAAAUUCUCUUCUAUUUUGAAUACUUGUCAAUCUGUAUGACUCAUGCUUAAGACUGUAAACUGUCAUUUAAGGUGUGAUGUCCAAGUUGAGACCUGGACCAUGAUUUGCAAGGGGCUGGGUUUUCUCUUUCAUCUCUAUUAAUUAAUCCUGUUUCAGUUUGCCCAGCGUACACUUCUGUUGACAUCACCUUUUCCAUAUACUUUAAAGAGUCCCCAGAGAGAUCUACUGCAGAACAAAAACUGGACAGAGAAUACAUUUGGAAACCAUUUUAUUUCUCAAUUACCAACCAAAACGUAUGGAAAAGAUUUACACUCUAUCUGAUUUACACAAUAAUUAUACUUUGAAAGCUUAGAAAUAAAUGGCUUGAUCCCUGAAAUCAUUAGUUACUAUACCAAAUGUAAUUGGUGUAAACUAAUGAGUUUACUGGAUGGCUGACCCUUAAUUACUGAUUAUAGUUAAACCCUAGCCAAUCAAAAUUUCGUUUACUUAUAAAAGUACAGUGUAGUAUUAACAAGCAUUACAUUUCUAAGCAAGCAGCUUUAUGAUUAGUUGUAGCACACAACUCAAGCUUGUUCAGGGCCAUCAAAAGCAGCUUUUCAAUAACAGUGCACUAAGCAACCAUCACUCUCUUACCUCAGCUUCUAUCAGACAAACAGAAAGAAACCACAUAAUUAAUCAUCUCAUGCAAUAGAAAUAAAGCRUCUGGGCCAGAUCCAGGUGGGAUGUACACAGCCGCCUCAGUCCAAAGAGCUGCAAGAGACUGAGGAUCUGCCUUAUGAUAGGAUAACUGACACAGGGAAUUCUGGUUCUCUUGUGGGGGCAGUAUGGGAUAUGGAAAUGAAAUACUGAUCGAUUGUGUGCAGUCCCAUGUGAUGUGGAGAAACCUAUCAACAAAGUAGAUUUAAUAAUUCCUUGAACUGAGGAGCAUUUCUUAGACAGAUUCAUUAUGCAGUAAUAGGAUAUCUGGCUACUGUACUGGCAAUCCCAAAAUCCAUAAGUCAUGAAUCCUCACUAUUUAUUUUAUGAAAUGGAGAAAAAAUUUUUAAAUAAAAUACUAAAGGGGAACAAAGUAUCUUCAUUUGUCUCAGGUUGAUCUUUAGGAACUAGUGUUUUACGUAACCAGGAAGACUCAAAAUUCCUACUGAGAAAGCUGAAAGCAGAUUUGUAUUUAGGCCAUGAUUUCAGAGUUGUGACUUUAAAUAGACAAACAAAUAUUUUAAUAAAAUCAUAAGACUUUACAGUGCUUACAGUCCUUAAAGGUACUUAGGUAAAUUACUCCAGUGAUUUAAGAAUGUGGAAAUUCUCCAUCUCCUAGAUCAUUCCUGCGAAUCCUAAACUUCAGACAGGAAAUUGAUACCAGAAGACACAAGCAUUGGAAGGUCAGCUAUGGAGAUUUAGUUGGAAGAAUAUGUAUUUGUUGGAGCUCUGCACUGUGUGCUCUGUAGAUGACCCAACAGACCUCACAUCAGCAAGUGUUAAUUCUGUUGGGAUUGCAGGUCUCUUCCAUUUCAGUUUUUCUCCAUUAUGUUCUUUCUGGGGCUUGUCUUUCAUAAGAAGCUAGGCUCAGCAGAGGACCGACCUUACCUGAAGGCUCUUUGGAAAAAGUACUGUAACACUUGCCUAUUUGUUAGUAUUGAAAUUGAAGAAUGAAUUUGUUUUCAGAAUAUCUGCACAUGGGUUAAAGUGAAAUUUAUGUAUUUACUGAACUCCUGUUUAUGAGAUGUGUCUGGGGUCAAGAAAAGGUUAAAGUUGUUUACUGCCUUCAAGCUUCGGUCUUAUAAGUUAAAUCAGAACUGUGCUGUGAGCAGUCAGAGAGAGUAAGUCCUUGGAGCAGUGAAUUGCUGGUUUGAUGUCAAGGUCCGUGGGCCUUAAUAAUAAUAUUAGUUUGUUUCCUAAGGAAAUCCUAGCAGGGACUUUAUGGUUAUGUAAAGUCAUCACAUUGUUUUAUGACAUAACUUUAAAGAUGCUUCAGAAUGAUCAGAGUUUGUGGGAGGGGAUCACAGUUUUUAUUAUUUGUGCAAUAUCCUCAAGGUGUCAUAGCUACAGCACUACCACUUGGAAUAGCUGCUCCACAGUUCAUAAGAAAAGACAAAGGAUCUGUUGAAGCCUAAGUCAGGCAAUUAGGGUACAUCUGUUCAGAGAAAGCUCGUUGAAUUGAAUGGAUCCCAUGUACUUCCUGACAAUUGACUCCAAUUUUGUAGGAGAUGUACAUUUGGGGCAAUCAAGGUGUUUUAUUACAAUUCCACAAGAGCAGAUAGAGAGCCUAUGAAGCUCUACAAGUUCUGCUUUUCWCAGUUCUCUGUUGGAGGAUUCAGGAGUGAGCAAUUUUGAAAGUCAAGGAAAAGGAAGAAGGCAUAUUUUCCCAAACUUUGUCAUCCUGUGAAUACGAAGAUAGAGGAAACACUAGACCAGACAAAAACUUUCCUCCCCACCCUCUGCACAGCAGUGCUGGUAAGAACAGUGCUGCCAUUUCUGUUCUGCUAACACUGAAGCAGCGCCCUCCAAUGCAGAAGGGAGACAAGGAACCAUUGAUUUGGGAGGAGGGAAGCACACUAUGGACAGGUUCACUCUUCCCAGCCUGCCAUCCCUGCGGCACAGAGGAAAGGGGGAGCUUCUGGAAUGACUGGUGGAGCAAGCACCGAAGGGCCCUAUUUCCCUCCUUUUCUGUGAACUCUGUAACUGUUUCUGUGAAAGAAAGCAUCAAGCCCCAUCUCGCUCAUGGAAAUACAACAUAUUUUAAAGCCAUAGUUAAUGGAUAAACUGUUUUCUGAUUGGAUGAGCCACACAAUAAAUCAUUUGCCGAGCCAAGUGCAAUGCAGCUUAUUCAGUUACAUGAAAUGAGCCACUGUCACUUUGCUGCACUUACAUACAUCAGGCAAAAUGCUUCCAUCUUCAUCAGUCUCUUAGUGAAAUAGAAAUAAAACAAUUGUAACAGAAUGGUGUCACUGGAUCUGUGGCACCUGCUUUAAAAAUAAUCUCUUAGCUUUGUCUUCACUAUUACUUUCAAUAAAUGUCCUAGGAUUGCCACAGCAUUUAUCUAGCAGCAGGAAACCAUUAUCCUAUGACAACAAUCUAUUCCAUUAACAUUAGCUCUUAAUUGUAAGAUUGUUUAUAAGACAGCAAAAGCUACUGAAUCAUAGUAGAAUGAUAUAAAGAGUUAUGGUCAUGGAGCAUAGUAGUCGCUCCAGUUAUGAAAAACAACUUAAAAGUAGAGAGUUAUAUUUUUAUAUGAAAAAUAAUGUAAUAUUCUUACGCAAUACGAUGUUUUAAAAUAAUGGAUUACAUCAGCAAAGUAACUAUUAAAGAGUUGGUGUUAAAAACUGUUACUAAGAAACMCUUUCUUUGAUAAAUGGUGUUGCUGAAAAAUGGAAUAGAAAGCUUAGAAACUCUGCCUCUUGCUUUCAGUAAUGCUGCACCAAGCCAAACAGAGAAAUCAUAAUAACAAAAACACAUUUGUCUGGCGGAGUGAACAGAAUAAAUGUUGCAGAAUUGAGAUAUGAAGAACCUCACUGCAGAACAGAAGGAGAACUGUCAUCCUGAUUGUUUGUCAUUAUUGUUUCAUGUCCAGUUAAGUGAACUUAAAGUGACAGUUGUGUCAUAACUACUGGAAUCUAUGUAAAUUUCAAAUCAAAUAUGAUAGAGUCAUUUCUGCCAGACACAAGUCACCAGGCUGCUCUUCCUCUUCUUUUUUGUAACCCUCCAUUUUCUCAUCCAUGCUGGUAACCCUUAAAUUAAAAAGACAAUUUCAA